RNAcentral lists this ribosomal RNA (382 nucleotides) under uncultured eukaryote. RNAcentral describes it as "partial 18S ribosomal RNA". It matches the Rfam family "Eukaryotic small subunit ribosomal RNA", at positions 592 to 976 of the family's 1831-position model. The record is from RNAcentral.
UGUAAGCGUAUACCAAAGUUGUUGCAGUUAAAACACUCGUAGUCGGACUUUGGCAGUUCCGGAUGUGUGCACGUCGUGUGCGCACUUCGCGGGGAUUGCUUUUGUGGUCUUGCGUAGGAUGAGGCACUUUUAUUAGUGAACGUCCUCACGCAACCACUUUUUACUGUGAGAAAAUCAGAGUGCUCAAAGCAGGCAUUUGCCGUGAAUGUAUUAGCAUGGAAUAAUAGAAUAGGACUUGGUUCUAUUUUGUUGGUUUGUUGGGACUGAGUAAUGAUUAAGAGGGACAGUUGGGGGCAUUUGUAUUUCGGUGCUAGAGGUGAAAUUCUUAGAUUACCGAAAGACAAACUGCUGCGAAAGCGUCUGCCAAGGAUGUUUUCAUUGA